Molecule: non-coding RNA, 969 nt
Organism: Aedes aegypti (yellow fever mosquito)
Lineage: Eukaryota; Metazoa; Arthropoda; Insecta; Diptera; Culicidae
Source: Rfam
CAAACUUUGGACAACAUGACAUAAGGGUUGGAAAAGAAUCUAACAAGGAUUCCCUGAGUAGCUGCAAGCGAAAUGGAAAGAGCUCACCACGUACGUGCGAUGUACUGCCUGUAUCUGACCGUUUAUGUGUACUGGAAAGUUCGUUAUCUGUCGUAAUUGAUCGUCAGUUCAAAUGAAACUGGAAUGUGGUUUUUUAUCCCUAGCAGGCCGUGGAGCGGUGCACCAAUGUUAGAAAUGCCUUCCAUGGAGUCAUGUUGCUUAACCCUUUCUUUCCCACAGCUUCGAAUGACAAUUUAACUGUAAAAAUGGCGUUUCUAAAAAAAGUGCUUGAACAAAAGUUUUUGCAAAUAUGCUAAAUUAUUCAAAAUCACAAUAAAAAAAAUUGAUUGUUUUUUCAAUAGUUAGUUGAUUGUUUUUCAAUAGUUUGAUCCUUAGGUCACUUAUUUCGAUGUUUGAUGAAACAAAUAAGCGGAUAAAUUCAUUCCGAUCAUUAUUGACCUAAUCGUAUCAACUCGGUUCAGCUAGCGUUCGUCGAAAAUCGGUGGAUCACCUGUGCUACCAUGGGAAAGAGAGGGUUAAUAGUGCCGCACAAAGUGGGAGGUAUACUUCUUUUAAAGCUAAAUAUCAUUACGAGACUGAUAGCAAACAAGUACUACAAAAGAAAGCUGAAAGCUUUCUAAAAAGAGAGUCAAAACGUACAUGGAAUUGUCUAAAAUUUGAAUCGAAAGCAUCGAACUUCAAGAAAUUUCAAGCUUCUUGAAGCUCUUUGACUAAGUUUCCAACUCAGCCAACUUAAGGAACCGCCAAUUUCAUACCAAUUCAUUAUCAUUCUUCCAAAGCUAUAGUUGCCCCCAGGAAUUCUCAGACAACUCGAGGAAAUCUCCACAACCUUCCUGUAUUCCCAGUUUUUCAUCAAGAAUCAAUAGCUUCCUAACAGAAAGUUCCAAAAUCCAUACUUUAUUCCUGCAG